Long non-coding RNA from Canis lupus familiaris (dog), 453 nucleotides. RefSeq lists it as uncharacterized. The transcript has 3 exons. The record is from RefSeq and is a predicted model, not a curated record. Lineage: Eukaryota; Metazoa; Chordata; Mammalia; Carnivora; Canidae.
AGGGCUCUGGUCCUGCUGUCACCACCCAGCACCCACCGAGUCUAUCCACAGCUUCUCUCACAGGCCAAGGGCCGCACCCCAGAUCUGGCCUGGCCUGGAAGGGCAGGAAAACAACAGGCAAAGAGGUAAAGAGAGCUGGAAGCCAAGCCUAGAUUUCUCCUGUAAACCCUGGGCUCCUUCAAAUACACCUCAGCUGCUUCAAACUGAACAGAUCUGACUCUCUGAGACCUCAGUGAAAAGGUCCUGGACCCCCACCUUCUUCUCCUCAGCUCUAAAUGGCAUAUAAUCCUCCAUGCCUGACUGCCUGUGGGCCUCAUAGUCCCAGAUGGUAAUCCUUUUUCCAAAAUCAUCUUUUUAGGGGCAUCUGGGUGGCUCAGUGGUUGAGCGUCUGCCUUUGGCUCAGGUAGUGAUCCCAAGGUCCUGGGAUCAAGUCGCCCACCAACUGAGCCAGCC